GUCCUUGAGUAGUUAACAAGGAUCUACAGGACAGGAAUUGCUCCAACUCCCAGUUGGAGGAAGCAUUAGUUUUAUAAAUACAUUUCAGCCUUUUAAACUCAACUUUAUUUUCCACCAAGACACUGAAAAGAAACAGUACAUUCAUCUGUAUGUUAAAAGAAGACAAAAGACACCACACUGCUCAAGAAUUUAGAUCUGAGGUGUCACACAGUAGACUGGUUCCUAUGAGUAACCCAAUGGCAAUAGGAAUCUCUUUUCUGUGCUAACCCCUCUGCUUCUUAAACGAUGUGCUUUCAUUGGGAGCCCAGGUGUGUCCCCUGAGGGACUUCAUUCUGCGUGGAGCCUGAAACACAAAAUGGUGCUGGAGCCUCCUCUUUCACUCCCUCCCAGCUCCUUAGGAUCCUCACCCUGCUCCCACCAACCUCACUGACUGAAAUGUGCUCCGCCUUUUUUACUGGGAACAGAAACGGGAGUUCCGGGACAGGGGGAACGGAACAGAAGUGUGGCUGCCCCCCAGUCUGCCCUCACCUCCCCAGAAGGAAAAGCCAGGUUGGCAUUGGUAGUGAGCACCACACCACUUAUCCAGUAGAGGAAGGCAAAAGAAGAGGCACAGAGAGGACGAGGAAUGCAAAAUUCACUGAUUUUUUACUUUUGUGAAUGCCAUGAUAGUAUUGGUAUCUCCUGCUUUCCGUGCUGUCUACCAAUGGAGUCACGGUGCUGCCAUGGCAUUGAUGGAAGACUCUCAAACCACUGCAAGGCUCCCAGCUGGACAUCCCGUAACAGUUCAUUAUGAGGUUGCUUCUCCCAGUUGCCCUGGACCUGACAGCUGCCAGAGAAAUUAAACCUUGUUGCCAGUGAAGGAAACAGCAAUGACUUUCAGCUGUGUAGACUAAAACUGAAAACUUACAUCUUACUGCAAAGCUUCUUGGAAUAAACAGCUAUAUGUAGAUACAGCAAUAGUGGCUGAAAGACAGCUUCAUCCUGAGAACCAUGGGAACCAACCGGGAAGGAAUUACAGUGGGGAGGAAAAAAAAAAAAAAAAAAGAAAAAGCAAGACAGAUAGAAAGAAAGAUUGAAAUCUUUGGAAAUUCAAGAGAUACAGCUAUUGUGAAAUCAAGCCACCCAAAGAGGGAGCACGUGCAUAUCCACACAUAAAUUGUCCAAGCUGCCAUCCUCAAGUGCUUAGACAGUGCCAAGCAAGCAGCUGGCACUCCUGCAAAUACUUGACAGCAGCGACCUGGGCACAACACUGAAAACUGAUUAAAUGAUGUGGUAGGAGAUACAACAAACAGAGCUAUCUUCAAAAUGCUGUCAAAUGUGUGAAACAAGCAAGUUGAGAGAAAUGAAUAAAAGAAAAAGAGCUUCAUAUGCAUUUAGUUAAAAGAACUUUGGCUCCUAUUUUUAUUUUAAUGAAGAAUUGCUGUUUCUUUUUCUAGGAACUAUCAGUCAUCUCUUCCUCCUUCUCUUUAUCUAGAAAAAUUACUGAAUAUAGCACAGCAAUUAAUUUUUCUUCCAUGUCUUAAGCACCCUGCUUUCAAGUACCUGCUCCCCUUUA
Long non-coding RNA from Cygnus olor (mute swan), 1555 nucleotides. RefSeq lists it as uncharacterized. NCBI's taxonomy places the organism in Eukaryota, Metazoa, Chordata, Aves, Anseriformes, Anatidae. The transcript is spliced from 3 exons. The record is from RefSeq and is a predicted model, not a curated record.